This 72-nucleotide transfer RNA is filed under the name Keratinibaculum paraultunense. It matches the Rfam family "tRNA". Rfam says of the family: Transfer RNA (tRNA) molecules are approximately 80 nucleotides in length. Their secondary structure includes four short double-helical elements and three loops (D, anti-codon, and T loops). The record is from Rfam by way of RNAcentral. Lineage: Bacteria; Bacillati; Bacillota; Tissierellia; Tissierellales; Tepidimicrobiaceae.
GGCCCCAUGGUCAAGAGGUUAAGACAUCGCCCUCUCACGGCGAAGACAGGGGUUCGAUUCCCCUUGGGGCUA